Molecule: long non-coding RNA, 290 nt
Filed under: Eucalyptus grandis
Lineage: Eukaryota; Viridiplantae; Streptophyta; Magnoliopsida; Myrtales; Myrtaceae
Description: long non-coding RNA (EGRA_LNC002616)
Source: RNAcentral
UUCCUAAGAAAUUUAUUUGCCAAGACUUUCCUGCUAGCAUCAUACAGUGGGACGUAAAUGAUCCAAGGGGGGGAUAAUAAUGAGCAAAAAAGUUAUUCCAGGACCUAUAAAGAAGAGGUGCUUAGGGCCUUAUAACUUUUUUGGGUAGUGAAAUGCCAUUGAAUUAGUGUGAUGCUUGGGUCGCAUAAUGAACCAUUAUCCGAAAAACAAAUGAAGUGAUUCAUGUUGGAUCAGCAAACAAAGUAGCCAGCCCAGUUUAAUUUAAAGAACAGUGGCUUAAGGAUGAAAAC